AUGGGGGGAACCCUGACCGAGCAACGCCGCGUGAGUGAAGAAGGUUUUCGGAUCGUAAAGCUCUGUUGUUAAGGAAGAACGAGUGUGAGAAUGGAAAGUUCAUACUGUGACGGUACUUAACCAGAAAGGGACGGCUAACUACGUGCCAGCAGCCGCGGUAAUACGUAGGUCCCGAGCGUUGUCCGGAUUUAUUGGGCGUAAAGCGAGCGCAGGCGGUUAGAAAAGUCUGAAGUGAAAGGCAGUGGCUCAAUCAUUGUAGGCUUUGGAAACUGUUUAACUUGAGUGCAGAAGGGGAGAGUGGAAUUCCAUGUGUAGCGGUGAAAUGCGUAGAUAUAUGGAGGAACACCGGUGGCGAAAGCGGCUCUCUGGUCUGUAACUGACGCUGAGGCUCGAAAGCGUGGGGAGCGAACAGGAUUAGAUACCCUGGUAGUUCACGCCGUAAACGAUGAGUGCUAGGUGUUAGGUCCUUUCCGGGACUUAGUGCCGCAGCUAACGCAUUAAGCACUCCGCCUGGGGAGUACGACCGCAAGGUUGAAACUCAAAGGAAUUGACGGGGGCCCGCACAAGCGGUGGAGCAUGUGGUUUAUUCGAAGCAACGCGAAGAACCUUACCAGGUCU
This 618-nucleotide ribosomal RNA is filed under the name Streptococcus anginosus. RNAcentral describes it as "bacterial SSU rRNA". It matches the Rfam family "Bacterial small subunit ribosomal RNA", at positions 371 to 981 of the family's 1533-position model. The record is from RNAcentral. Lineage: Bacteria; Bacillati; Bacillota; Bacilli; Lactobacillales; Streptococcaceae.